AUUGAACGCUGGCGGCAGGCCUAACACAUGCAAGUCGAGCGGUAGAGAGGUGCUUGCAUCUCUUGAGAGCGGCGGACGGGUGAGUAAUGCCUAGGAAUCUGCCCAGUGGUGGGGGAUAACGUUCGGAAACGGACGCUAAUACCGCAUACGUCCUACGGGAGAAAGCGGGGGAUCUUCGGACCUCGCGCCAUUAGAUGAGCCUAGGUCGGAUUAGCUAGUUGGUGAGGUAAUGGCUCACCAAGGCGACGAUCCGUAACUGGUCUGAGAGGAUGAUCAGUCACACUGGAACUGAGACACGGUCCAGACUCCUACGGGAGGCAGCAGUGGGGAAUAUUGGACAAUGGGCGAAAGCCUGAUCCAGCCAUGCCGCGUGUGUGAAGAAGGUCUUCGGAUUGUAAA
Molecule: ribosomal RNA, 399 nt
Filed under: uncultured bacterium
Lineage: Bacteria
Description: bacterial SSU rRNA
Rfam family: Bacterial small subunit ribosomal RNA
Source: RNAcentral